CUGGAUACUGGGGAAGCAACGGGAGGCAAAAUUGGAUGUGGCCUUUCACGCACCUGGAGCAAGGAUUCAGCGUUUGUUCCCGCAGAUCCAUGACCCACCCCCACUGAAUUGAAAUGGAGGCCGAUGUUUACCGUGCCACCUCUGUGUACCUCUUUAGAGCUCUGCGUACUGCUUUUGUGCCAGAUGGGCAAGAAUAAAUGAAAGCAGCCAUUUCUGCUAGGGAGCAAUCAGAGCCUAAUAUUGAGCUCUUUGGAAACCGACUCAUAGCAGUCAUAGGCAAGGGCCACUUCCUUUAGGAAAUGAAUGAAGACAACUUGCUUUUCCUAAGCUAGGUUCCCCGUUUGUAUUUCUUGACAAGGGCUAAAUGUGUCAUACAAAGGACUGUUUUCAUUGUCCCUGUUUUUCACAGUUUCUUCCAGUCCCCACCAGCUUCUCUGCUGCAGGGAGUUUACCAGGAAACAGGUGCACAAAAGGAAGAACUUGCUGAGGGCCUGGCAAACUGGAAACUCAAUCCAGGUGGCCAAGGUCUAAUCUUCCCCUACACCAGGACUUUAAUGAUAUAUAAAAGCAGCAUGAAGGGCUCCUGACUGUGGAUUAAUUUGGAGAUGACUUUCUCUGUUGAAGAGUGGCAAGACUCUUGCAAGUUCUUAAAAAUGCACUUGUUUGGUAUGAGAAUGAAAAGCAGUGGCUGAAGAACCAGUCUUCAAUGGGCAAGGCUUCUCUGACACUGAGAUCUUCCCCGGCGGCUCUGAUCUGGGGGCUCCCUGUAGGUGCAAAGACCUGGUUCUUCAGACUCCAUCCAUGGAAGGAGGGAACACCAGUCGCAGGGAAGUGGGCUCUGCAUGGGGUUCCAGACACAGUAAAACAGGGCCUGGCACAGGUAGAAUGGGGGAAAAAGGGGCCCCAGUCAAAGGGCAGGGCAGCCUCAAAGUUGACCCCAAGCCUGGGACCAGGGGCUACUUCUGCUCCCUUCUGCACCCAGAGUCGGAAGAAACAGUUCAUUCCUCUUAACCCUUUCUUUGAAUCAUUCCUGCAACUUGGCAUCCCUGAAACCACAUAGGGAAAUCACUCCUGUUGUAAACCCUUUCUUGGUGGCCCCCUGUGGCAGCAGUGACUUAAAGUCUCAUCCCUCAUGGUAGUUGUGUUCUAUAAAGCUGCCAUGAACACUGAACUAGUAGAUGCUGAAUCGUUGCUCCUAGGAGAAGCAUAGAGUUAGAUUCCUGCUAGCCUCUGGUCAUGUUUUGUCAACUGAUCAGUACAUAACCUCGUUCUAUGUAUGUUUCUGUUGACAGAUGCCUUGUUUGAGGUAUAGUGCGAACCCAUUAGCACUGAACUCAGGACCAGCAACGCUGUAACUCAGGCCUGAAGGAAGCAUUUCUAGCACAUGAAUUUCCUCCGUAAGGCACCUCACAGCCUCUUGUGCCUGGGAACUCUAGCCAGCACUGCAACACGAUGCCUGGGGCCAUUAUAAAUGUGAAAUUACCAAAGAAACCCCACAAAAAUGUGAAAAUCAUGGCACUAAAUAGACCACAAAAAGAAUGCUUAUUUGCAGUAUGAGAACUGGAACCAGAAGGUAGGAUGUCAUUGUGUUCUUCCUCAGCACUGGGUGACUCAAAUUUCUCUCCACUCUGCCGGUGUCUUUGAGUGACCAGGAAAUUGCUGGGAAUAUUGAUUUUGGGAUAACAAAUAAAUUUUAUCGAGUAG
RNAcentral lists this long non-coding RNA (1704 nucleotides) under Macaca fascicularis (crab-eating macaque). RNAcentral describes it as "lncRNA (ENSMFAG00000052353.1)". Lineage: Eukaryota; Metazoa; Chordata; Mammalia; Primates; Cercopithecidae. The record is from RNAcentral.